This 66-nucleotide transfer RNA is filed under the name Bombus sylvestris. RNAcentral describes it as "tRNA-Ala". The record is from RNAcentral. Lineage: Eukaryota; Metazoa; Arthropoda; Insecta; Hymenoptera; Apidae.
UGGAUAUUAGUUAACAUCAUAACAAUUAAUUUGCAUUUAAUAAUUAUUAAAUUUUAAUAUAUCUAA